UUAUCGUCAUUAACUAGUUACUUGAUAUGAGAUUUUAAUGGGGAGUGGUGUAAUGCCCGCACGAUUGUUGACUUUCAUUGUAAUUGCCUGAGCUGGUUCCUGGGCCGCCUCAGAUAGCAGGAUGGUGUGUCGGGUGUGUCAAGUAUCUUGACCUGACACUUGACAGGAAGGCUGUCCGGUUAUGACUGAGGCCGGCAUCUCACCUGUCCUGGCUACGCCAAAUCGCUGUGGAUGCCGGAUGCCGAGGACCGGAGAGCCAACCGCUUUGAGGCGUGAGCUCUGUGGCGUGACUCGAGUGAUCACCAGGUUCUGACGGCUACGGCGCCGUCGACCUGGUUGAAUAGCUGGGGCCUGAACGAGGGUGACCUCAGUACGGUGGCCAAUCGGUUACGUCCGAGGGGCGCUCGAACACGCUGCCGUCGCGUGGCUGCCGGCGGCCGCCCCCUCGCAUGUGGAUCUCCUGGAGCGAGGACUGUGAGAGGCGGCCGCAUCAUCACCUGUGUCCGCGCUCAACACCGUGCCACGCACUAAUGGCGGAAGCCCGACUUUCUCCGAUGGAGGAGAGAAGCUGGACGCUGGCUGCCAGGCUGCUGGGGAGGGCGCUGGGUCUGCCAUCAGGGGACCCCCUGCGCGCGACCGCCGAGGCCUCGGCACCGGCGCGCCUGUCUUCGGUCCGAGGCUGGAGAUUGCGAGGCCGCCAGGCCUGGGCGAGAGCGAGAAUCCCACCGUGGCAACAGACGACUGGCGUCACCUUCCGGUUGGACGUGUGCCCGAUCCGGGCUGGGGCCACGGCGGCGGAAAGGGAAAGCGUGGCUACGCUGCACCUCGCGUCCCUGCCCCUGUGUGCUGUCGGGUUUUGGACGGACGGAUCUGCGGAGGGCGGAGUCUUCAGGCGCUGGGUGGGAGCCGUGCUGGUCUGGCUGGACGAAGAGGCCGAGGAACUGCGGGCCCCGGCCGGAGAGCUGUGCUAUGGCUACCGCGCGGAGAUGAUGGCGCUGGUGACCGGUCCGGAGACCCUACUCGGAAGAGACAGAGACCAGGACUUGCGUUCCGUACCUAUCUGCUAACUGUGCGGUGGUGCUGGUGUAGUGCAGCAUUUUUGGAUGGAUAGCUACAUUUCACGAUUAACUAGCUGUUACGUUUCAGUGCAGGUGGCGUGACGAACAAUGUGGUAUCUGUUGGCCACUUCUGCGGCCGCUGCUCCUACUCGAAGGCGGGCGCGCUGUUUGGCUGGGCCGGCAGGAUGUUCCCAUUAUGUGUCGAGGACAAAUCGUGUAUAUUCAUGUUCUUUUAAUGCACAGAUGUCUGUUGUAUAUUUGUCUGAAGUUUUAUUUUAAGUUGACGGUUGCGUAGGGCAGAUUCAUCUUCUCUCUUUCAUUUUUGUUGCCACUUUAGCGUUCAUGUUUGUUAUGUGUCCUGGUCCGGCUUGGUUGUCAUCGUUAUUCGUGAUGUAUUUUAUUUUACGAACAUGCUGGUGAUCAAUGCAAUACACUUUUGGUUAAUAA
This 1505-nucleotide long non-coding RNA is filed under the name Amphibalanus amphitrite. RNAcentral describes it as "uncharacterized LOC122388217". Lineage: Eukaryota; Metazoa; Arthropoda; Thecostraca; Balanomorpha; Balanidae. The record is from RNAcentral.